GUUGAGUGGGAAUAGUAAGCUAACAUAGUAAGUAUGGAGAAUGCAGAUAAAUCAACGUUUUUCAACUAAAUGCUUGGUUAUCAUUAAAUAUGAUAUGCUUCCCUACCAUUUUCCUUACCAAAGUGAAAUCUUGCUAAGAUGAAGCUA
RNAcentral lists this small RNA (147 nucleotides) under Listeria monocytogenes FSL J1-208. RNAcentral describes it as "Listeria sRNA rli38". It matches the Rfam family "Listeria sRNA rli38". Lineage: Bacteria; Bacillati; Bacillota; Bacilli; Caryophanales; Listeriaceae. The record is from Rfam by way of RNAcentral.